GGGCACACCUGACGCUGAGAGACGAAAGCUAGGGGAGCGAACAGGACCAGAGACCCUGGUAGUCCUAGCCCUAUACGAUGAAUGCUAGGUGUGGGAUCGAAUGGUUCCGUGCCGGAGCGAACGCGAUAAGCAUUCCGCCUGGGGAGUACGGCCGCAAGGUUACAACUCACACGAAUUGACGGGGCCCCGCACAAGCAGCGGAGCGUGUGGUUUAAUUCGAUGCUACACGAAGAACCUUACCUGGGUUUGACAUGUAGAUGGUAGUGAAUCGAAAGGUGAACGACCCUUCGGGGAGCCUACACAGGUGCUGCAUGGCUGUCGUCAGCUCGUGCCGUGAGGUGUCGGGUUAAGUCCCGUAACGAGCGCAACCCUUGCUCCUAGUUACAAGUGUCUAGGGGGACUGCCGGCGGAAAGCCGGAGGAAGCUGGGGAUGACGUCAAGUCAGCAUGGCCCUUAUAUCCAGGGCUACACACACGCUACAAUGGUCGGUACAAAGGGCAGCGAAACCGCGAGGCGGAGCGAAUCCGAGAAAAGCCGAUCGUAGUUCGGAUAGCAGGCUGCAACCCGCCUGCUUGAAGCUGGAGUUGCUAGUAACCGCGCGUCAGCCAUAGCGCGGUGAAUACGUUCCCGGGGCUUGUACACACCGCCCGUCACGUCAUGGGAGUCGGUAACGCCUGAAGCCGGUAGUCUAACUGGA
RNAcentral lists this ribosomal RNA (697 nucleotides) under uncultured organism. RNAcentral describes it as "bacterial SSU rRNA". It matches the Rfam family "Bacterial small subunit ribosomal RNA", at positions 732 to 1443 of the family's 1533-position model. The record is from RNAcentral.